AUGACAUCGGACACUCUCCAUGGUUAUUUUACGCUUGUCAAUAAAAGUGGUUGUAGUCCGUUCUUGAUCGUGGCUAUUGAUAAAGUAGCGGAGUGGAUGACAUGUCCGAGAAUAAGUGGGAAUCCAUGCAAUUUCCUGUGAUUCCGCCGUGGACAACGCUGAGCCAAGAUGCUGGAUAGAUGCAUGAUUGGACAAGAUGUGUUGGUGGCUACAUGGAGGACGUGCAAGCAAACGGACCAACCACUUUCAUCAAGCCCUUCAUGUGGAUGGUGAGCAACCCUUUGUAAUUAAUUGCCUUACACGCAG
Long non-coding RNA from Engraulis encrasicolus (European anchovy), 306 nucleotides. RefSeq lists it as uncharacterized. Lineage: Eukaryota; Metazoa; Chordata; Actinopteri; Clupeiformes; Engraulidae. The transcript has 3 exons. The record is from RefSeq and is a predicted model, not a curated record.